UUCCUGUAGUUGAUUAACAACGGUGGUUUUUCAAGCCAUUGGUCCUGGUUAGAAUCCUGGUAGGAAUG
Molecule: transfer RNA, 68 nt
Filed under: Stigmatogobius pleurostigma
Lineage: Eukaryota; Metazoa; Chordata; Actinopteri; Gobiiformes; Gobiidae
Description: tRNA-Glu
Rfam family: tRNA
About the family: Transfer RNA (tRNA) molecules are approximately 80 nucleotides in length. Their secondary structure includes four short double-helical elements and three loops (D, anti-codon, and T loops).
Source: RNAcentral